Molecule: ribosomal RNA, 3336 nt
Filed under: Oocystis lacustris
Lineage: Eukaryota; Viridiplantae; Chlorophyta; Trebouxiophyceae; Chlorellales; Oocystaceae
Description: partial 18S ribosomal RNA
Rfam family: Eukaryotic small subunit ribosomal RNA (bases 1669-3336)
Source: RNAcentral
GAAACGGCUACCACAUCCAAGGAAGGCAGCAGGCGCGCAAAUUACCCAAUCCCGAUACGGGGAGGUAGUGACAAGAAAUAACAAUACCGGGCCCUUUCGAGUCUGGUAAUUGGAAUGAGUACAAUCUAAACCCCUUAACGAGGAUCCAUUGGAGGGCAAGUCUGGUGAACAUAACAACAAUGCUGUUGACGCCAGAGAUAGUGGGGCGCCGGCGGUGUUCGCCGGUGUUAUGCCUGCUAGUCGAGCAGCCGAUCGCAAGGAUCAGGUAGGCUGCCGGCAAGGUGACCUGGAACGGGGAAGGCCUUCAGCCCCUGUGUGGGCCCGGAUAAUCCCGUGGCGAGCUUGUAUAGAGCGAUCUUUACAAAGCCGUCGUAACGCACGCUAAGGCACCGGCGGGCUCUCAGAGUCUGCUCAAGGGAUGUGCUAAGCCCACCCGAUGACAAAGGGUGCUUCGAACAAUAGUUCCUGAUCAACGAAGGUUCGAGGGGGCCAUAGUGUGCAGAGGAAAUGCUGCUCACUGCCCGGUAUUUCAGCUAUCAACGUUGGAUAGGUGAAUCAUUCAAGCCAGGAAACUGAAUGGCAAGUCGUCCAAAGCUGCUGAAAAGGCAUGUGCAUCGAACAACCACUGUGACACAGCUACUCAUCCUCUCCCGGCUGUGCCUGCGUAAGGGUGAGGCGGCGCGUGUCGAUCUCAGGAUCAUACACAUUGGUGAAGCAGCGCAUGCCUGCCUGCUCCUCCUCAACUGGGCGCUUGUGGAACAACGCGCAGAAGUCCUCACGGAAGGUGGUGAACGUCGUGAGGGACGUGAACUGCCGCAUGAAGUGAUGGCAGAACUCGUCAAGCGCGUUAUCCUGCAUUGAGCCGAGCUUGAGGUGCCACGGGUUGGUGCACCACUUGUUGCCACACAUGUGUCGGAUCGUGAAGGUGUUGGGCCCCUUGCCCGACGUGACUCGCUGCAGCUCCUCCAGCGUGCAGGGCAGGGGCACGCCAGCCGCGAAGUAGUCCGGUUCCAUGAACUGGAUGUAGCCGCAGCUGAAUGCCGUCAUGUGAUACACAAAUGCCUUGUUGGCCUUGGCCCCCGGCAAUGUGAAGUGGUGAGGCACGAUGCGCAUGUGGUCGUCAUACAUUCUGCGCGAGGGCGUCUGCCCCGAGCGGUCUGAUUGGCACAACACCCAGCAGUUUCCCAUGCCGUGCGAGUCGAGGCUGUCGAAUACAAGCUCGUCGGUACGCAUGGGGAUGACAAAGGGCUUGACCAUCUGGUUGCCAGCCACCUGCCAUGUCUCUGGUAUGGCCAGGGCCUGCGGGCAUGGCAGCAAAUGGCGGGAUGUCGACCUCGGAAUGAUCGAGCAUCACCCGGGGACGACCGAAAUGCAUGGCAGGGCAUACACACCUGUUUGGUGAAGCUGCCCACCUCCGCCAGCACCCCGCCUGGAGCCUGGAUGGUCAUGUUGAUGGGCUUGUCGAUGGGCUGACCGCCCACGAAAACGCGUUUGCCAUCCCACUCUGGCACGGCAUCAAUCACAGACUCCGGCACAGCCCACGCAAAGUUGGGCUCGAAACAACGGUCAAAUUGCUCCGGCUGGUCUUUGAACCAGCUGGCAAGCGCCUUGUACUGUGGGUUAGCGAGCAGCUCGACCUCCAUGGCUGAACAAGUGUGAGUGUGCUGUUUUCUGUGAGCCGUGCGGGAGUUAUAUAGCCUACGCGCCUAGCCCGAAGGACAUGACCAGGACAUGACCAGGAUGAUUCAACGACAUUCAACAUUGAUUCUGUAUUGGCCAGCAGCCGCGGUAAUUCCAGCUCCAAUAGCGUAUAUUUAAGUUGCUGCAGUUAAAAAGCUCGUAGUCGACUUUCGGGCGGGUUGCGCUGGUCCGCCUUUGGUGUGCACUGGCGUGUCCCGCUUUUCUGCCGGGGACAGGCUCCUGGGCUUUACUGUCCGGGACCUGGAGUCGGCGCUGUUACCUUGAGUAAAUUGGAGUGUUCAAAGCAAGCAUACGCGUGAACAUAAUAGCAUGGAAUAACGUCAUAGGACUCUGGCCUAUUUCGUUGGUCUGUGGGACCGGAGUAACGACCAAUGGGGGCAGUCGGGGGCAUUCGUAUUUCGUUGUCAGAGGUGAAAUUCUUGGAUUUACGAAAGACGAACUGCUGCGAAAGCGUUUGCCAAGGAUGCUUUCGUCGAUCAAGAACGAAAGUCGGGGGCUCGAAGACGAUUAGAUACCGUCCUAGUCUCAACCAUAAACGAUGCCGACUAGGGAUCGGCGGAUGUUCUUUUGAUGACUCCGCCGGCACCUCAUGAGAGAUCAAAGUGUUUGGGUUCCGGGGGGAGUAUGGUCGCAAGGCUGAAACUUAAAGGAAUUGACGGAAGGGCACCACCAGGCGUUAAGAAUGCUCUAGCGCCAGCGGGCUUGAAAAGAGCGCCGCUAGUCUCUCCGGAGGCGACACCGUCAAAUUGCCGGAAACUCCUGCUACGUCAGUGGUACCGCCCACAGUCGAAAGGCUGUCGGGGCACCGUAGGGAAACUUGCGGAUAUGGUAAAAAUCCAACUGAAUAGGGACAAUCGGCAGCCAAGCCCUACGGUCCGUCCGGACUAUGGGUGCAGUUCACAGACUAAAUGGCGGUGGGUUGGCUUCAGAUGAAGCUGGCUUAAGAUAUAGUCGGGCCGCUCCGAAAGGAGAGCCCAUGGGAGGACUGAGAGAAGCAAUUCCUUUGCCUAUCUCUGAGAGCCCAUGGGGAGCGAAGUAGUAGUCGGCGGAGCAACCCGCCGACGGCACCAGCGGCCUUUCGCUUGGACAACCGGGAGCCUGUGGCUUAAUUUGACUCAACACGGGAAAACUUACCAGGUCCAGACAUAGUGAGGAUUGACAGAUUGAGAGCUCUUUCUUGAUUCUAUGGGUGAAUUACCACUUGCCCAUGAAAGCGGUGCGAAAGCACUUAGCUAGUCCCCUCCCGGCCGUUAUUGCGAGGACGGGUUGGUGGGCGAGACAGUCGAAUUGCGGGGACGUCCUUAGAGCCUUUGCUACCAAGCCGGCGUGGAAACACAGUCGGUGGCCGAGCUAAUAGCCCUGGGUAUGGUAAAAACGCAAAGGAUUGGAUAAUCCGCAGCCAAGCUCCUAAGGGACCUCGCGUCCUAUGGAGAAGGUUCAGAGACUAAGUGGCUGUCGGUUCCCGACAAGUUCGGGAGCUUAAGAUAUAGUCCGGCUCUGUGGAGACACAGCCUUCAGAGGAACGUUCCUAGCAGGAACCGGAGCUGAAGGGGCGCCCGUCAUUGAGAGAUGACGGGUGGCUAGAGUAACCGGGUGGUGCAUGGCCGUUCUUAGUUGGUGGGUUGCCUUGUCAGG